GGAGUCUGGGCCGUGUCUCAGUCCCAAUGUGGCCGUUCACCCUCUCAGGCCGGCUAUGGAUCGUCGCUUUGGUGGGCCGUUACCCCGCCAACUGGCUAAUCAGACGCGAGCCCCUCCUUGGGCGGAUUUCUCCUUUUGCUCCUCAGCCUACGGGGUAUUAGCAACCGUUUCCAGUUGUUGUUCCCCUCCCAAGGGCAGGUUCUUACGCGUUACUCACCCGUUCGCCACUGGAAACACCACUUCCCGUUCGACUUGCAUGUGUUAAGCAUGCCGCCAGUGUUCAUC
This 285-nucleotide ribosomal RNA is filed under the name uncultured cyanobacterium. Its description in RNAcentral is "partial 16S ribosomal RNA". Lineage: Bacteria; Bacillati; Cyanobacteriota. The record is from RNAcentral.